UACGGAGGAUGCGAGCGUUAUCCGGAUUCAUUGGGUUUAAAGGGUGCGCAGGCGGGGAAAUAAGUCAGUGGUGAAAGCUGCCGCUUAACGGUAGUCUUGCCAAUGAUACUGUUUUUCUUGAGUAUGGUUAAGGUAGGCGGAAUGUGCAGUGUAGCGGUGAAAUGCAUAGAGAUUGCACAGAAGGCCGAUUGCGGAGGCAGCUUACUGAGCCAUAACUGACGCUGAGGCACGAAAGCGUGGGGAUCGAACAGGAUUA
This 256-nucleotide ribosomal RNA is filed under the name uncultured prokaryote. RNAcentral's name for it is "partial 16S ribosomal RNA". It matches the Rfam family "Bacterial small subunit ribosomal RNA", at positions 524 to 780 of the family's 1533-position model. The record is from RNAcentral.